CUAAACAUACCCAAAAUUAGGACAGUACUAUUUCUCUAAUUUCUGACAAUGUGAGCAUUAUGACUAAAAAUUACGAAACGUUACUUCACAACAGGAUAUUAAAUAAGGUGUUACAUAAAUCUCACUAUACCAAUUAUGUUAAAUCCGUUGAGAACAGUAACGAAGGUUAACUGUUCAAUUCACAGCUCAACCAAUCCCACGCUACGGAAUAUAAAUACGCCACAACAAAAUUCGAAGUGGUGGAACAGUAUUUUAUACAGCAUAAGGUAAAUUUCGUAACGGUUCUUCUUUGAGCGAGUGAGAAAUACAAUAAAACAUUUGAUGGCGCACAUUGCAAUCAACUACAGCUGAAGACACUCAUUACAUUUAUGUAACACGAAACUUACCAGUAAUAGUACCAUGCACUUGGGUCCCAUUCUUGAGCUCGAUGGUAACCGUUUCAUGG
This is a long non-coding RNA of Schistocerca cancellata (South American locust), 445 nucleotides long. RefSeq lists it as uncharacterized. NCBI's taxonomy places the organism in Eukaryota, Metazoa, Arthropoda, Insecta, Orthoptera, Acrididae. The record is from RefSeq and is a predicted model, not a curated record. The transcript is spliced from 2 exons.